Molecule: long non-coding RNA, 1245 nt
Organism: Lynx canadensis (Canada lynx)
Lineage: Eukaryota; Metazoa; Chordata; Mammalia; Carnivora; Felidae
Exons: 3
Source: RefSeq, a predicted model, not a curated record
GCGCUCCCAGGGCCGCCCCCACGCCGGGAGGGGGCGCGAGGGGGCGCGAGGGGGCGCCUGUGGCUCGGUUCGGACACCUUCUCCCGCCUCCUACCGCGCACCCCGGCCUCGGGCUCCGCGCAGCGUGACAGCUCCUCGGGUUUGGAGAGAAGGGUGACGGAAGGGUCAGAACCCUGGCGAGAACUCCCCACCGCCCACACUCACCUGAGGGCGGGCGGACGGGCGGAAAUAGGAGCUUACAAUCAGCAUUUGACAAAUCUUCACUGAGCCUCUACUGUGUGCCAGGUCCUGGCACAAAAGGUUGCUGAUUCCAGGACAAAUCAGACCUUAUUCCUGACCUCCAGCUGCUUAGUCUCAAGAAGAGGAAAGGAAAAUAAAGAGACAAAUAUAAUACAGUGUGAAAAGUACAACAGUGGUCCAAUUUCAGUUCAUGAACUCAGAGCCAGAAAAGGGAAGUAGCCUUGAGACAAUAUCUUAAGAUAAGACUUCCGGGUAACAGAAAUUAGCAAGAAUGAAAAACAACCCAAGGAGCUUCCCCCACGUCCACCAUCAGAACAGCUAAGCUCAAGACAAGUGACAACAUCAAGUGUUGGCCAGGAUGUGGAGCCCCUGGAACUCUCAUACACACCUGGCGGAGAUGCAAAAUGGUACAGGUACUUUGGAAAACUGCUUGGCAACUUUAAUAAACAAAGAUCGGCUUGAGGUCCAGAAAUUCCACUCAUAGGUAUGUCUCCGAGAGAAAUGAAAACAUGUCCACAAAAACUGUACGUAAAUCUUAACAGCUUUAUUCAUAAUAGUCCAAGCCGGAGACAACCUAACUAUCUACUCAAAUAGGAGUUUGAAUAAACAGUGUGGUAAAUCCAUAGUAUGGGAUACCACACAGUAAUCAAAGUGGAUGAAUGAUUGCUGCCCACAACAACACAGAAGAAAAAAAUCAUUAUGUUGAAUAAGAGAAACCAAAUGCAAAAAAAAAAAAAAGGUGAAUAUUAUAUAAUUCUACUUAUGUGAAAUUUAGUAACUGGCAAAACCAAUCUAUGGUUUUACAAGUGGUGACCUCUGGAGGAGAAGGGGAGAACAGGACUGUUUUUGACCUAGAAGGGGCAAUGGAAGCAGGUGUUAGAACAAUUCUACACUUUGAUCUUUGGGAUGGUGACACAGGUGUAUACAAAGGUAAAAUUUUUAAGUUUUUAAAAAAUGUUUAUUUCUUUUUGAUAGAGAGACAGAGAGCGAGCAUAAGCCGGGGAA